GGUCAUCUGUUCUCCACUGCGAGGACGCUGCCACUCAGUGUGGAGAGAGGAAGGGGUUCUGCCUAUGGUGCAAGAAGGUCGGACUCGGCAGUUAAUACUCUUGGAUAAUGUAUUUAAGGAUGCUUAAGAAAUUGCAACAGCCAGUUCAACCUUCAGCAACCACCAUACUGAUCAGUAGUCAUCAACAUUGAGACGAGACUGUACACCAGCAAAAAGAUCCCAACUCAAUGAAGGCUCAGAUGAUUUUAG
This is a long non-coding RNA of Pan troglodytes (chimpanzee), 249 nucleotides long. RefSeq lists it as uncharacterized. NCBI's taxonomy places the organism in Eukaryota, Metazoa, Chordata, Mammalia, Primates, Hominidae. The record is from RefSeq and is a predicted model, not a curated record. The transcript is spliced from 3 exons.